UACGUAGGCAGCGAGCGUUGUUCGGAGUUACUGGGCGUAAAGGGCGUGUAGGUGGUUUUGUAAGUCUGGCGUGAAAUAUCUCGGCUUAACCGAGGCAGGUCGUCGGAUACUGCAAGACUAGAGGACGGUAGAGGCGUGUGGAAUUCCGGGUGUAGUGGUGAAAUGCGUAGAGAUCCGGAGGAACACCAGUGGCGAAGGCGACACGCUGGGCCGUACCUGACACUGAUGCGCGACAGCAUGGGGAGCAAACAGG
This 253-nucleotide ribosomal RNA is filed under the name uncultured bacterium. RNAcentral's name for it is "partial 16S ribosomal RNA". It matches the Rfam family "Bacterial small subunit ribosomal RNA", at positions 524 to 776 of the family's 1533-position model. The record is from RNAcentral.